UACAGAGGGUGCAAGCGUUAAUCGGAAUUACUGGGCGUACAGCGUGCGUAGACGGUUACAUAAGUCGGGUGUGAAAGCCCCGGGCUCAACCUGGGAAUUGCAUUCGAGACUGCGUAGCUAGGGUGCGGAAGAGGGAAGCGGAAUUUCCGGUGUAGCGGUGAAAUGCGUAGAUAUCGGAAGGAACACCAGUGGCGAAAGCGGCUUCCUGGUCCAGCACCGACGUUCAGGCACGAAAGCGUGGGGAGCAAACAGG
RNAcentral lists this ribosomal RNA (253 nucleotides) under uncultured bacterium. RNAcentral's name for it is "partial 16S ribosomal RNA". It matches the Rfam family "Bacterial small subunit ribosomal RNA", at positions 524 to 776 of the family's 1533-position model. The record is from RNAcentral.